This 437-nucleotide unclassified non-coding RNA is filed under the name Heliconia xanthovillosa. RNAcentral's name for it is "partial external transcribed spacer". Lineage: Eukaryota; Viridiplantae; Streptophyta; Magnoliopsida; Zingiberales; Heliconiaceae. The record is from RNAcentral.
GGCCCCUAGAUGGAAUGACCGUGUCGGCACGUGAGCGGUGAUGGAUUCGCAUGCCACGGCGGGCUCCCUGCCACUGUGCAGCCAACCGGCGUCGCUGCAGCCCCCUCACUCGUGCUCCAACCACUCGGAGCCNCCCGCGUUGCCUGUACAACAUACUCGGUUCUCGGGCAAAUGACUUCGUCCGACACGCUCGUCCGCUCCCCUCGCCUUUGUGCGGGCGCGGAGCGGCAACGUCGGCGGUCCUCGUGCUCCCUCGGACGACGGCACGGCUUUGGCCCCUCGUCUCGUCCCGAUCGGCCCUCGAGGAUUCGCCAGCGCUCGCGGACACGGUAGACAAUGUUGGCUCGGGGCCUUCGUAGCCCCCGCACCACGAUCGGUCGGCUCACUUCGCCGCCCUCGACGAGACGACCGUCGNGCCCGUCGUCCCCCCACCACUC